Long non-coding RNA from Pyrus x bretschneideri (Chinese white pear), 1389 nucleotides. RefSeq lists it as uncharacterized. The transcript has 5 exons. The record is from RefSeq and is a predicted model, not a curated record. Lineage: Eukaryota; Viridiplantae; Streptophyta; Magnoliopsida; Rosales; Rosaceae.
CUCAGAAGGGUAAUUUUGUCUGGAGGGUUUAGGACGAAUUACCCCUUCAUUUCACCUUAUUUGCAAGAAACCCAUUAUAUGUGGACUAGGUUGGAAGGGCAAUUUUGUCCUCUCGGUUUUGAGUGAAUUCAGGGGUUGGCGUGUAGAGUUUCAUUUACUGUCCUUCAAUGAGGGUUUCGGGGGAUGGAAACUCUGACAGAGAGCGGAAGAAACAGAGAGAGAGAGAGAGAGAGAGAGAGAGAGAGAGAGAGAUGCCGAUGGGAAGAGAGUGCAGGGGAGAGGUAUGGGUGAUGGAUUUCAAAAGUGGGAAAGUGGGUUUUGUCUUCUCGGUUUUCACUGAAUUCGGGGGUUGGCGUGUACAGUUUCAUUUGCUGUCCUUCAAUGAGGGUUUCGGGGGGAAGAAAGAACAAUUGUGGGUUAAAGUCUUCAUAUUUGAAAGUUGAAUCUCAGCCUUUGAAAGGCUUUGUGAACAUGUCCUCGCGUGUGCAGCAGCACUCUGCAGCUAGAACUUUUUUUGAUUUUUCAUUCGAAUCGAUUCGAUUUUUUACCUAGAAAAGUUAGCGGUUACUGGUGAGUUUUUCCGCCUUUCUUAGCGUGGGUGUUUUAAUUUUUUUUUUUUUUUUUUUUUGGUGGUUUAGGAUUUGCAGAUGGGUUUUGUGUUUAAGUUUGCUUUUUGUGAUUUUGUUUGUAGGCUCGGAUCCUCCUCUUCUUCUUCAUCCAAACCUGUAGCCCCACCUUUGAUUAUUACCGACGGAAACACGACGGAUUAAGGCGCAGCACCAAUACUGUAACACUUAGGAGAAAAGAGGCCCAAACCCGCAAAGAUUCGUUCGAACACGUGCAGGAAGAAAUAACGAGGCGGUUGAAGUGUAGUACAAAAGUUUACUUUGAAGCCAAGGUUAAGAAAAAAGAGUGAGGAUAUGAAGAAGUGGAAAUGUACCUGAUGGAAUGAGAGUUUUGCUGCUUAAGACAAAGAAUGGAGAUGCAAUCUAAGUGACUCUAAAAGAUGUCGACUAUGCUUUGGUUGAUCAAAAAAUAGAAACUGCACUUCUGUAUUAUGAGAGAAAAUAGAGAGCAAUCUGUCUCAGUUUUGGAAUGUACUGGAAUAAAAAAAGCUAACUCAAGCUGCUAUGUCAAAGCUGGAGGAGCCAUUGUUGAUUAAUCCUAGGAAAUAUGAGGCUUUGUGGUGAUGGGAAAUGCUUAAACUGCUUGAACAUUAUGCACUCCGGACCAGAAUGAGGCAAAGGUUCCAAAAGGUGUUGUACUGCUUCCAGAAGGCUUUCAAUGAGGUUCUUCCACUUACAAAUUUGUUAUUCUUGGAAUUUGUAAUCCCGCAGCAACGCGCGGGCAUUACUAGCUAGUUAAUAACUAACUUAUCCAUUACAACAC